UACGUAGGUGGCAAGCGUUGUCCGGAUUUAUUGGGCGUAAAGAGCUCGUAGGCGGUCUGUCGCGUCUGCUGUGAAAACUCAGGGCUUAACCCUGAGCUUGCAGUGGGUACGGGCAGACUAGAGUGCGGUAGGGGAGACUGGAAUUCCUGGUGUAGCGGUGAAAUGCGCAGAUAUCAGGAGGAACACCGGUGGCGAAGGCGGGGUCUCUGGGCCGUAACUGACGCUGGAGGAGCGAAA
RNAcentral lists this ribosomal RNA (237 nucleotides) under uncultured bacterium. RNAcentral describes it as "partial 16S ribosomal RNA". It matches the Rfam family "Bacterial small subunit ribosomal RNA", at positions 524 to 758 of the family's 1533-position model. The record is from RNAcentral.